UUAAAUACAUAUGCUGUUAUGGAAUGCAUCACAUCACAAGUAAUCACAUUCGGACGGACGGAUCCAAAAUUCCCUUGGCUCUGUGCCCGGCCCGCAAAGGAGCUCCUCAGGACUUCUGUUACACAUAAAUAUAAACUCUGUGCCCGGCCCUCAUGGGGCUCCUCAGGACUUCUGUUACAUGACAUACUCCCAAGGGCUAGUGGAUAAUACUCUGUGUCCGUCCACAUUUACAAGAAAUAAUGCAAUGCGUCAUAUUCGUGAUUUCUAAUGAGAUACAACCUAGUAUACACAUGGUAGUUAUGAUGCAUGAUUCAUGGUAAAACAUUCAUUUAAAAUACAGUUU
This 343-nucleotide long non-coding RNA is filed under the name Manihot esculenta (cassava). RNAcentral's name for it is "long non-coding RNA (MESC_LNC007498)". Lineage: Eukaryota; Viridiplantae; Streptophyta; Magnoliopsida; Malpighiales; Euphorbiaceae. The record is from RNAcentral.